UAGGCUGAAACUCGCCUACAUGAAGCUGGAAUUGCUAGUAAUCACAGGUCAGCAUACUGUGGUGAAUACGUUCCCGGGCCUUGUACACACCGCCCGUCACACCAUGAGAGUUGAGAAUACCCGAAGCCCAUGUCAAAGUGGUCGAAGGUAGGCUUGAUGAUUGGGUGAAGUCGUAACAAGGUAGC
This 185-nucleotide ribosomal RNA is filed under the name uncultured bacterium. RNAcentral's name for it is "partial 16S ribosomal RNA". It matches the Rfam family "Bacterial small subunit ribosomal RNA", at positions 1301 to 1500 of the family's 1533-position model. The record is from RNAcentral.